UUAUGGCUCAGGAUGAACGCUAGCUACAGGCUUAACACAUGCAAGUCGAGGGGCAGCAUGACGAUAGCUGCUAUUGUGAUGGCGACCGGCGCACGGGUGAGUAACGCGUAUCCAACCUUCCCUAUAGUAGAGGAUAGCCCGGCGAAAGUCGGAUUAAUACUCUAUGUUUUCCAAUGCAGACAUCUAAAAUGGAACAAAGGUUUACCGCUAUAGGAUGGGGAUGCGUCUGAUUAGGUUGUUGGCGGGGUAACGGCCCACCAAGCCUACGAUCAGUAGGGGUUCUGAGAGGAAGGUCCCCCACAUUGGAACUGAGACACGGUCCAAACUCCUACGGGAGGCAGCAGUGAGGAAUAUUGGUCAAUGGGCGAGAGCCUGAACCAGCCAAGUAGCGUGCAGGAAUGACGGCCCUAUGGGUUGUAAACUGCUUUUAUACAGGGAUAAAGUGCGCCACGUGUGGCGCUUUGUAGGUACUGUAUGAAUAAGGACCGGCUAAUUCCGUGCCAGCAGCCGC
RNAcentral lists this ribosomal RNA (511 nucleotides) under uncultured bacterium. Its description in RNAcentral is "bacterial SSU rRNA". It matches the Rfam family "Bacterial small subunit ribosomal RNA", at positions 17 to 518 of the family's 1533-position model. The record is from RNAcentral.